CCUACGGGAGGCAGCAGUGGGGAAUUUUGGACAAUGGGCGAAAGCCUGAUCCAGCAAUGCCGCGUGUGGGAAGAAGGCCUUCGGGUUGUAAACCACUUUUGUACGGAACGAAACGGCUCGCUUUAAUACAGUGGGCUAAUGACGGUACCGUAAGAAUAAGCACCGGCUAACUACGUGCCAGCAGCCGCGGUAAUACGUAGGGUGCGAGCGUUAAUCGGAAUUACUGGGCGUAAAGCGUGCGCAGGCGGUUAUAUAAGACAGUUGUGAAAUCCCCGGGCUCAACCUGGGAAUUGCAUCUGUGACUGUAUAGCUAGAGUACGGUAGAGGGGGAUGGAAUUCCGCGUGUAGCAGUGAAAUGCGUAGAUAUGCGGAGGAACACCGAUGGCGAAGGCAAUCCCCUGGACCUGUACUGACGCUCAUGCACGAAAGCGUGGGGAGCAAACAGGAUUAGAUACCCUGGUAGUCCACGCCCUAAACGAUGUCAACUGGUUGUUGGGUGNAUAGUACUCAGUAACGAAGACACGACGUGAGUAGACGCCGUGGAGGACGGCGCGAAGGUAGUAACGUUACAAUAGAAGUUAGUAGGCGNGAGAGNGCGACGGACGACGACGAGGGAGGAGG
This 621-nucleotide ribosomal RNA is filed under the name uncultured bacterium. RNAcentral's name for it is "bacterial SSU rRNA". The stretch from base 1 to 539 matches the Rfam family "Bacterial small subunit ribosomal RNA", at positions 338 to 873 of the family's 1533-position model. The record is from RNAcentral.